UACAGAGGGUGCAAGCGUUAAUCGGAAUUACUGGGCGUAAAGCGCGCGUAGGUGGUUCGUUAAGUUGGAUGUGAAAUCCCCGGGCUCAACCUGGGAACUGCAUCCAAAACUGGCGAGCUAGAGUAUGGUAGAGGGUGGUGGAAUUUCCUGUGUAGCGGUGAAAUGCGUAGAUAUAGGAAGGAACACCAGUGGCGAAGGCGACCACCUGGACUGAUACUGACACUGAGGCGCGAAAGCUAGGGGAGCAAACCGG
This 253-nucleotide ribosomal RNA is filed under the name uncultured bacterium. Its description in RNAcentral is "partial 16S ribosomal RNA". It matches the Rfam family "Bacterial small subunit ribosomal RNA", at positions 524 to 776 of the family's 1533-position model. The record is from RNAcentral.